AGGAUUCCCCCAGUAACGGCGAGUGAAGAGGGAACAGCCCAAAUUUGUAAUCUGGCCCUUUCAGGGUCCGAGUUGUAAUCUCGAGGAACUGUUUUCCGUGCUGGACCGCGUACAAGUCUGUUGGAAUAUAGCUUCAUAGAGGGUGAGAAUCCCGUACAUGACGCGGACUACCAGUGCAAUGUGAUACAGUCUCUAAGAGUCGAGUUGUUUGGGAAUGCAGCUCAAAAUGGGUGGUAAAUUCCAUCUAAGGCUAAAUAUUGGCGAGAGACCGAUAGCGAACAAGUACCGUGAGGGAAAGAUGAAAAGCACUUUGGAAAGAGAGUUAACAGUACGUGAAAUUGUUGAAAGGGAAACGCUUGAAGUCAGUCUUGUACUUGGUUGUUCAGCCUUCGGGUGUAUUCAACUUUGAACAGGCCAGCAUCAGUUUUAGAUGUCGGAUAAGGGUAAAGGAAACGUAGCAGCUUCGGCUGUGUUAUAGUCCUUUGCUUGAUACGACGUCCGGGAMUGAGGAACGCAGUGCACGCCGUAUGGCGGGCCCUUGGGCCUUCUCACUAUGGAUGUUCGGCGUAAUGGCUUUAAACGACCCGUCUUGAAACACGGACCAAGGAGUCUAACAUGCUUGCGAGUGUUUGGGUGUCAAACCCGGGCGCGUAAUGAAAGUGAAUGUAGGUGGGAAUCGCAAGAUGCACCAUCGACCGCGUCCCGGAAUUUUUAAUGAUGGAUCUGAGUAAGAGCAAGUAUGUUGGGACCCGAAAGAUGGUGAACUAUGCCUGAAUAGGGCGAAGCCAGAGGAAACUCUGGUGGAGGCUGCGCAGCGGUUCUGACGUGCAAAUCGCAUCGUCGAAUUUGGGU
RNAcentral lists this ribosomal RNA (852 nucleotides) under Septobasidium pilosum. RNAcentral describes it as "eukaryotic LSU rRNA". It matches the Rfam family "Eukaryotic large subunit ribosomal RNA", at positions 71 to 916 of the family's 3401-position model. Lineage: Eukaryota; Fungi; Basidiomycota; Pucciniomycetes; Septobasidiales; Septobasidiaceae. The record is from RNAcentral.